Non-coding RNA from Schizosaccharomyces pombe (fission yeast), 324 nucleotides. The record is from the annotation of a GenBank genome assembly. Lineage: Eukaryota; Fungi; Ascomycota; Schizosaccharomycetes; Schizosaccharomycetales; Schizosaccharomycetaceae.
UCAGGAACGAUAUAAUUAAUGGGUAAAAGACUUUGAACAAAUUGAAAAAUCCAAGACAUUCAACAAAAAAUCCUAUGAUGGGGAAAUGAAACAACGUAAGCAAUAAUCCACUAAAGAAACUUAUGCUUCCUAACAUUCUAUCCUUACGAAGGAAGAAGCUGACGGACUUGGAGAAACCCGCUAUCAUAAAAAAACCAAAGACCAGUAAUAACUAUAUACGUAUUAGUGUUAUACAGGAAUAAUAGAGAGUUGAUAUAUGUGAGUCAAUGAAAUGAAAUGAAAGUUAAUAAUUCACGUCUAAGGACACUUCAUAUACUUAGGAUG